CCGGGAGCUGCGACUCUGGACAUUUUAAGGUGAGCACGUUUAGUUUGGAGCGGACUUAAAAUCCCAGAGCGGGGCUGCUGAGGGGAGGACAGCGGGCACAGCAGCUGCUUCUGCGGGAGGAACACCUGAGAAAGGUGCGCUCAAGCCGGGUGACAAAUUACACACCAAACUGGAGACUUCUUCGGACUUGGCUCUGUUUCAGACUCCCGGUAAGCGGCACCGACGAUGCUCCGCUCAGGCUCUCGGUCUUAACAUCACAAAGUAACUCGAUUUUUAAAAAGUGUCAGCUUUCUGGAUAUUUGUGCCCUUGUUUGUUGUUGUUUUUUAAUCAGCGGACGCGUGAUGAUUCCCGUCGCAUCGCGCUGCGGUAGGUGAACUACUGGAAACGUGAGGGAGCUGGAGCGGGAGGGGAGGGUGGAAAGCGGGUCUUUGCGGCCAACUCGGACCUUUUCGGCUUGAUUAGAGCUGUAAUUUCACCUUCCACGGCUCAGAAUGCAUUCCCACCUUUUUCUCUCGGCUGUGGACGCUGAAUAAAAGCAGAAGAAGUCGGUGUCAGCUGAGCCAGAACGGUGCGGAUCCGUCGGAUGCCUCUUUUUUGUUAUUUUCCUCCCCUCUCUACACUGUUUCCAUGAUUUGCGCAAGGAAUUUCAUGUUUGAAUUUUUAAUUGGAGAAUGACUAACCUCACAGGGACACUCUGCUGCUCUUUCCCUGCCGUUUGUUGCUCAGACAAGUCUGAUCCUUUUUUGGAGAACGCGUACAGCAUCCCCGUGGUUCCAGCCAGGGCGCGCGUAACCUCUCCACUGAUGUCCAUUGAUUUAUAAUAUUUUUUUGUGGGGGGCCAUUUAUCGAGUGUCGCGCAAGGACUCGUGUCCGUUUGUGUAACACUGUUUUUUCCCUCCCUGCUGCCCGGGUUGGAUCAGGAUAGUUGGAACUUUUUGCUCUCUGAUGUGGGGGAAACGCUCUGCGUUGCCUGGUGAAGACGCGGUUUUGCCGUGCCCUAGGUUCGCUGCUCGCAAAGACUCUGAGAAGACUGGCCAGUAACAUUUCUGCUUCUGAAGACCUCAAAUUUACAUCGGACUCCCUGCCGCUCAGACACUCGUGCAGUUGCAUUUCUGUCUAUUGCGCAUUAUCCAACUUAAGACCCUCGAAGAACUGCAACAGCGUCGUGUGGAGGCUAACACCUGCAGAGAGGUUUAUUUACCCUCAAUCGGCUACUGCAACAGCUGGGAUUUAACAUCCUCCUGCAGGGAUUUCUACCAUGUCAGGUGUACGGGAUUUCAGAUGGACUCUCUUCAUCUGUGUGGCGGCGCUUUCAUGUGACGUCUACUUUGAGCCGCGAACCCCAUGAAAUCCCAUUCGGCUCCAUCUAAAUAUGGCAGGACUCAUAAAGACUGAAGCACUCGCAGAGAAACCCUUCUCGGCGUCUUCCACUCCCGAAGAAAAUCUCGCCCAAGGAAUUGGGUGCUGGCAAGAUUGCAAAAUGACAUUGGCACAGUUAUUCUGCUCUAACUGAAUUAAAGAUUUUG
This is a long non-coding RNA of Pundamilia nyererei, 1527 nucleotides long. RefSeq lists it as uncharacterized. Lineage: Eukaryota; Metazoa; Chordata; Actinopteri; Cichliformes; Cichlidae. The transcript is spliced from 3 exons. The record is from RefSeq and is a predicted model, not a curated record.